CAAGUCGUACGCGCAACUCUCUGUAGCAAUACAGGGGGCGGGCGCGUGGCGAACGGGUGCGUAACACGUGGGUAACCUUCCUUUAAGUGGGGGGUAACCCGUCGAAAGGCGGGCUAAUACCGCAUAACAUUCCGGCGGCUGCGGCUGCCGGACUCAAAGCCCGCAAGGGCGCUAGAAGAGGGGCCCGCGGCCGAUUAGCUUGUUGGCGAGGUAACGGCUCACCAAGGCAUGAUCGGUAGCCGGUCUGAGAGGGAUGCCGGGCACACUGGAACUGAGACACGGUCCAGACUCCUACGGGAGGCAGCAGUGGGGGAUCUUUGCGCAUGGGGCGAAAGCCUGACGCAGCAACGCCGCGUGGGGGGAUGAACCUCUUCGGAGUGUAAACCCCUUCCAACCGGACGACCCCCGGCAAGGAUUGACGGUACGGGUAAAAAAGCCCCGGUAACUAAU
Molecule: ribosomal RNA, 450 nt
Filed under: uncultured bacterium
Lineage: Bacteria
Description: bacterial SSU rRNA
Rfam family: Bacterial small subunit ribosomal RNA
Source: RNAcentral